RNAcentral lists this ribosomal RNA (243 nucleotides) under uncultured bacterium. RNAcentral describes it as "partial 16S ribosomal RNA". It matches the Rfam family "Bacterial small subunit ribosomal RNA", at positions 91 to 334 of the family's 1533-position model. The record is from RNAcentral.
CGGACCGGCGCACGGGUGCGUAACGCGUAUGCAACCUACCUUUAACAGGGGGAGUAACACUGAGAAAUUGGUACUAAUACCCCAUAAUAUCAUAGAAGGCAUCUUUUAUGGUUGAAAAUUCCGAUGGUUAGAGAUGGGCAUGCGUUGUAUUAGCUAGUUGGUGGGGUAACGGCUCACCAAGGCGACGAUACAUAGGGGGACUGAGAGGUUAAUCCCCCACACUGGUACUGAGACACGGACCAG